RNAcentral lists this long non-coding RNA (2258 nucleotides) under Mytilus galloprovincialis (Mediterranean mussel). Lineage: Eukaryota; Metazoa; Mollusca; Bivalvia; Mytilida; Mytilidae. The record is from RNAcentral.
AGGUUGAAGCUGAAAUCUAUAAUGAAAUUGUUAUUGGCAGUAUUGUUUGUCUUUGAUUUAUUAACUGUUUCGUAUUGUCAAUGUGGUCCAUGUUUUCCUGCCCAUUUGCAAGACAUGUUUUGUUCAGCUGGACAUGGUAAAGAACAUUGUUUAAACGUUUUCAAUUGUUGUCGUUUGACUUUAAAAAUUGUAAAAAUAUACCUAGAUCUGAUAUGGAAUUGUUUAUAUUUAUAUUUCAAGAUAAAAAAUUGAGACGAUGAAGUCCUUCAACAUUAUCAAUGUUUGUCAUCCAUGUUGUCAGUGAAACGUCAUUUACAAUGCAUUAUUGGGAUAAAUAACUUAAACGGCCAUUUAAUCAAUACAUGUAAUAUGUGUAAUACCAAGUCAGAGAUAUAUAUAAGCAAUAGUCUUACCACAACAAACAUCUGUAUAACGUCAACAUAAUUGUUUAAAUCUUCUGGUGGAUGCCGUGGUUGUUCUGUUACUCAUAAAAUAAUUUUAAUGUCAUGAUUUCGAAAUACGACACCUUUUUUGCAAAUAAUCAUUAAACGCAGAGUUGUUGAAAGCCUACGCUGUAUACUUGUAUGUAAUAUAUGCAUUCAAACAUAAUUAUGCAUUUUGUGAUACCAUAUAGCUAAACACAAACAGAGCUCUUAUAUCAGUUUUCGUCUAAAUAUCUUUCAAAGAUAGGUAUCAGACAUGGACCUCCAAACCCACAACGAGUUCAAUAAGACUGUGUUAAAUAAGCUUAUUGAUAUAAAAAUAAACAUAACUCUGUUUUAGACAGAGAGUAUUAUGUAGAUUCAUGUAUGCAUGUCACAUUUGUUCCGGAAUUAACUGAUACAGAAAUAAACCCUGAAUACAAACAAACUGGAAUCCGUCAAUGAUACUUGUGGCUUUAUAUCGAUGAAAAUUAAAACAAUAACAUGAUGCUGACUAGUUAUAUUAUUUAAUCAAUCGUAAUUAAAUGGCAAAAUAUGUCUGAGUUAUCUAUAAAUUCUACUAGAGGACAUCCUUGGAAAUUAAUGAAAAAGAGGUGUAAUUCAACUCCACGUCUUCAUUCGUUUUCACAAAGGAUCAUUGAUCAAUGGAAUAGUCUUUCAACAGAAACAGUUUGUGCAGAAUCUGUCAAUAUUUAAAAAAAUCGUAUUAAUGAUGAACAUUGGAAUGGGAAGAAGUUUAAUCCUACAUGACAUUAGAUGACAUAAAAUAAAUGCAGCAGUAUUUAAAUGUGACAAGUAUUAAAAAUAUUGUGGAGAACCAUCGUACAACAUAUAUACCAGUACAGGACAAUUAAAAUAUUCGUUCUGUUAUGCGCACAGCUCAUAGUUAAAUCAUAAGUAUUUUAAUAUAAUUAAUAUAAAGUUAAUUACGAGGCGGCAAAAGAAGUUAUCAACUUAAUGAUCGCCACAAUAAUCCAGGAAGAAUCCAGGUAGGAAGGUAACUUGCUAUUUUAUUUUGUUCAAGUAUGAUAUGGUCACAGUUCAUACGCAUACUUUAUAAAACCAAAUUAUUUUUUUUUUAAUUUUACAGUAAACUUUGCACUUCCAAUAAAUGUGACGUCAAAAACAGUAAAAGGCGGGACAGAUAAGUUCUAUCGUUCAUUGGUGGUACAAGUUCUGAAGGUAUGUACUAUUCAGAAGUAAUAAUAUGUGGCAUUGCCUGUUUUACGUAAGCAGCCUGCAAAGUGCAUGCUGGUGAAAUACGCUUUCAUUUGUUUAACAGUAUAACAGAAUAAUGAAAAGUAAUUCAGCACAAUGUCCACUCUUUACCAGUUUAUGUUUUAGUAAAGGGGUCUUUUAAAAAUACCUUUAAAGUAAUUAGAAUUAGUGUAUGUCUGAAAUUCCUUAAUGAAAAACGACAAAUGAACGAUCAAACGCAAUUAUUUGAAGCCUUCAUAACGAACAAUCAAAUCCAAAUAUAAGAAGGCAAUGUUUCCAGAGUUCUUACUUAUAGCUAAAUAUAUUAAAAUAACAAUGUCAAAUCAUUGGCAAAAUGCUGACUACUGGUAUUCUGUAGCCUCUGGAAGUAAAACACUAACUACAGCGGUAUUACACAGCUUCUAUUUUUUUUUUAUAACAUGCAUUUGAAUUUUUUCAAAUAUUGUUUUUACACGUCAUUACAUACCACCUUUAAUUUGCAGCAAGGCGUACCUCCUCUGAGAAAUGGGGGCAUCGUUACUUUAAAGUCAAGUGCUCGUAAUGGGGCAGGUUGUAAAAAAUUUACCAUGAGAUUAUUCGGAGGUUAUAUUAUCGGGG